CGGUGAAUACGUUCCCGGGCCUUGUACACACCGCCCGUCAAGCCAUGGAAGCUGGGGGGUGCCUGAAGUGCGUAACCGCAAGGAGCGUCCUAGGGUAAAACCGGUAACUGGGGCU
RNAcentral lists this ribosomal RNA (115 nucleotides) under uncultured bacterium. RNAcentral describes it as "partial 16S ribosomal RNA". It matches the Rfam family "Bacterial small subunit ribosomal RNA", at positions 1360 to 1482 of the family's 1533-position model. The record is from RNAcentral.